GCAGGCUGAAAUUCGCCUGCAUGAAGCCGGAAUUGCUAGUAAUGGCAGGUCAGCAUACUGCCGUGAAUACGUUCCCGGGCCUUGUACACACCGCCCGUCACACCAUGAGAGUUGGGGAUACCCGAAGCCUGUGAGCCAACAGUUAAAUGAGGCAGCAGUCGAAGGUAGAAUCAAUGAUUGGGGUGAAGUCGUAACAAGGUAAC
This 203-nucleotide ribosomal RNA is filed under the name uncultured bacterium. Its description in RNAcentral is "partial 16S ribosomal RNA". It matches the Rfam family "Bacterial small subunit ribosomal RNA", at positions 1300 to 1500 of the family's 1533-position model. The record is from RNAcentral.